AUGGAACCUUCUAGAAGGUUCUCAAAACUGGUAAAAACUAGAGAAGUUUCUAAAAUUGGAUUCAUAUUGUUGCUGCUGGGUCGGCCCAUCUCUCGCUCAGUUGAUCGACUCUAUGAAUCCUCGACAAUUUUGACGCAAAAUGCGUCAAAUAGGAUUACCAGAAUAGACACCACUAGGUCGGACUUGUUCCAAGGACAACUCCAAUGGGCCAAUCCAAACAGACGUGAAAUAUGUCCGCUUUUUGUUUAUUUGGGCCGCCAAGAGGGCAGGCAUUCGCCACUUGUCCACCCUUCCUUGGGUAGUGAACCCAACGGGGCGACACUUUUGGUCCAGGUCGUUCGUUUUUUACCAUCAAACAUAGGAAAUGGAUUUAGCAAAAUAAACCUAGCAUUUUUUUUGCAUAGUACCACAUCCAAUGCUGCUACACAACAUUGCACCAAAAGAAUCGCAUGA
This 453-nucleotide ribosomal RNA is filed under the name Triticum aestivum (bread wheat). RNAcentral describes it as "partial small subunit ribosomal RNA". The record is from RNAcentral. Lineage: Eukaryota; Viridiplantae; Streptophyta; Magnoliopsida; Poales; Poaceae.